RNAcentral lists this ribosomal RNA (429 nucleotides) under Chloroflexota bacterium. RNAcentral's name for it is "Chloroflexi bacterium partial 16S ribosomal RNA". It matches the Rfam family "Bacterial small subunit ribosomal RNA", at positions 355 to 776 of the family's 1533-position model. The record is from RNAcentral. Lineage: Bacteria; Bacillati; Chloroflexota.
UGGGGAAUAUUGCACAAUGGGCGCAAGCCUGAUGCAGCCAUGCCGCGCGUGUGAAGAAGGCCUUCGGGUUGUAAAGCACUUUCAGCGGGGAGGAAGGCGGUGAGGUUAAUAACCUCAUCGAUUGACGUUACCCGCAGAAGAAGCACCGGCUAACUCCGUGCCAGCAGCCGCGGUAAUACGGAGGGUGCAAGCGUUAAUCGGAAUUACUGGGCGUAAAGCGCACGCAGGCGGUCUGUCAAGUCGGAUGUGAAAUCCCCGGGCUCAACCUGGGAACUGCAUUCGAAACUGGCAGGCUAGAGUCUUGUAGAGGGGGGUAGAAUUCCAGGUGUAGCGGUGAAAUGCGUAGAGAUCUGUAGGAAUACCGGUGGCGAAGGCGGCCCCCUGGACAAAGACUGACGCUCAGGUGCGAAAGCGUGGGGAGCAAACAGG